GAUGAAGAACGUAGCGAAAUGCGAUAAGUAAUGUGAAUUGCAGAAUUCAGUGAAUCAUCGAAUCUUUGAACGCACAUUGCGCCCAUUAGCAUUCUAGUGGGCAUGCCUGUUCGAGCGUCAUUUCAACCCUUAAGCCCUGUUGCUUAGCGUUGGGAGCCUACAGUACUGUAGCUCCCCAAAGUUAGUGGCGGAGUCGGUUUCACACUCUAGACGUAGUAAUUUUUUCUCGUCUGUAGUUGAGCCGGUCCCCUGCCGUAAAACACCCAAUUUAUCAAGGUUGACCUCGGAUCGGGUAGGAAUACCCGCUGAACUUAAGCAUAUCAAUAAGCGGAGGA
Molecule: unclassified non-coding RNA, 335 nt
Filed under: soil metagenome
Description: partial contains 5.8S ribosomal RNA, internal transcribed spacer 2, and large subunit ribosomal RNA
Rfam family: 5.8S ribosomal RNA (bases 1-120)
Source: RNAcentral